This 450-nucleotide ribosomal RNA is filed under the name uncultured bacterium. RNAcentral describes it as "partial 16S ribosomal RNA". It matches the Rfam family "Bacterial small subunit ribosomal RNA", at positions 354 to 796 of the family's 1533-position model. The record is from RNAcentral.
GUGGGGAAUUUUGGACAAUGGGCGCAAGCCUGAUCCAGCAAUGCCGCGUGCAGGAAGAAGGCCUUCGGGUUGUAAACUGCUUUUGUACGGAACGAAACGGUCCUGGUUAAUACCUGGGGCUAAUGACGGUACCGUAAGAAUAAGCACCGGCUAACUACGUGCCAGCAGCCGCGGUAAUACGUAGGGUGCAAGCGUUAAUCGGAAUUACUGGGCGUAACGCGUGCGCAGGCGGUUUUGUAAGACAGGCGUGAAAUCCCCGGGCUCAACCUGGGAAUUGCGCUUGUGACUGCAAGGCUGGAGUGCGGCAGAGGGGGAUGGAAUUACGCGUGUAGCAGUGAAAUGCGUAGAUAUGCGGAGGAACACCGAUGGCGAAGGCAAUCCCCUGGGCCUGCACUGACGCUCAUGCACGAAAGCGUGGGGAGCAAACAGGAUUAGAUACCCCAGUAGUCC